AAUACGAAGGGACCUAGCGUAGUUCGGAAUUACUGGGCUUAAAGAGUUCGUAGGUGGUUGAAAAAGUUGGUGGUGAAAUCCCAGAGCUUAACUCUGGAACUGCCAUCAAAACUUUUCAGCUAGAGUAUGAUAGAGGAAAGCAGAAUUUCUAGUGUAGAGGUGAAAUUCGUAGAUAUUAGAAAGAAUACCAAUUGCGAAGGCAGCUUUCUGGAUCAUUACUGACACUGAGGAACGAAAGCAUGGGUAGCGAAGAGGAUUAGAUACCCUCGUAGUCCAUGCCGUAAACGAUGUGUGUUAGACGUUGGAAAUUUAUUUUCGGUGUCGCAGCGAAAGCGAUAAACACACCGCCUGGGGAGUACGACCGCGAGGUUAAAACUCAAAUGAAUUGACGGGGACCCGCACAAGUAGUGGAGCAUGUGGUUUAAUUCGAAGAUACGCGCAGAACCUUACCAACACUUGACAUGUUCGUCGCGACUUUAAGAGAUUAAAGUUUUCGGUUCGGCCGGACGAAACACAGGUGCUGCAUGGCUGUCGUCAGCUCGUGUCGUGAGAUGUUGGGUUAAGUCCCGCAACGAGCGCAACCCUCACUUUUAGUUGCCAUCAUUUAGUUGGGCACUCUGAAAGAACUGCCAGUGAUAAGCUGGAGGAAGGUGGGGAUGACGUCAAGUCCUCAUGGCCCUUACGUGUUGGGCUACACACGUGCUACAAUGGUAUCUACAACAGGAAGCAAAACUGCGAAGUUAAGCAAAUCCUUAAAAGAUACCUCAGUUCGGAUUGCACUCUGCAACUCGAGUGCAUGAAGCUGGAAUUACUAGUAAUCGUGGAUCAGCGUGCCACGGUGAAUGCGUUCCCGGGUCUUGUACACACCGCCCGUCACACCAUGGGAGUUGGUUCUACCUUAAGGCAAGGUUUAAAACCCUUGACCACGGUAUAGUCAGC
Molecule: ribosomal RNA, 939 nt
Filed under: uncultured bacterium
Lineage: Bacteria
Description: bacterial SSU rRNA
Rfam family: Bacterial small subunit ribosomal RNA
Source: RNAcentral